RNAcentral lists this ribosomal RNA (971 nucleotides) under Staphylococcus sp. Its description in RNAcentral is "bacterial SSU rRNA". It matches the Rfam family "Bacterial small subunit ribosomal RNA", at positions 56 to 1012 of the family's 1533-position model. Lineage: Bacteria; Bacillati; Bacillota; Bacilli; Caryophanales; Staphylococcaceae. The record is from RNAcentral.
UGCAAGUCGAGCGAACAGAUAAGGAGCUUGCUCCUUUGACGUUAGCGGCGGACGGGUGAGUAACACGUGGGUAACCUACCUAUAAGACUGGAAUAACUCCGGGAAACCGGGGCUAAUGCCGGAUAACAUUUAGAACCGCAUGGUUCUAAAGUGAAAGAUGGUUUUGCUAUCACUUAUAGAUGGACCCGCGCCGUAUUAGCUAGUUGGUAAGGUAACGGCUUACCAAGGCAACGAUACGUAGCCGACCUGAGAGGGUGAUCGGCCACACUGGAACUGAGACACGGUCCAGACUCCUACGGGAGGCAGCAGUAGGGAAUCUUCCGCAAUGGGCGAAAGCCUGACGGAGCAACGCCGCGUGAGUGAUGAAGGUCUUCGGAUCGUAAAACUCUGUUAUUAGGGAAGAACAAAUGUGUAAGUAACUAUGCACGUCUUGACGGUACCUAAUCAGAAAGCCACGGCUAACUACGUGCCAGCAGCCGCGGUAAUACGUAGGUGGCAAGCGUUAUCCGGAAUUAUUGGGCGUAAAGCGCGCGUAGGCGGUUUCUUAAGUCUGAUGUGAAAGCCCACGGCUCAACCGUGGAGGGUCAUUGGAAACUGGGAAACUUGAGUGCAGAAGAGGAAAGUGGAAUUCCAUGUGUAGCGGUGAAAUGCGCAGAGAUAUGGAGGAACACCAGUGGCGAAGGCGACUUUCUGGUCUGUAACUGACGCUGAUGUGCGAAAGCGUGGGGAUCAAACAGGAUUAGAUACCCUGGUAGUCCACGCCGUAAACGAUGAGUGCUAAGUGUUAAGGGGUUUCCGCCCCUUAGUGCUGCAGCUAACGCAUUAAGCACUCCGCCUGGGGAGUACGACCGCAAGGUUGAAACUCAAAGGAAUUGACGGGGACCGCACAAGCGGUGGAGCAUGUGGUUUAAUUCGAAGCAACGCGAAGAACUUACCAAUCUUGACAUCCUUUGACACUCUAGAGAUAGAGC